Long non-coding RNA from Melitaea cinxia (Glanville fritillary), 186 nucleotides. RefSeq lists it as uncharacterized. The record is from RefSeq and is a predicted model, not a curated record. The transcript has 3 exons. Lineage: Eukaryota; Metazoa; Arthropoda; Insecta; Lepidoptera; Nymphalidae.
GAGGCGUUAUUCGAAGUCGACCAGACGACAAUUGCUUCCCCCUCCCCUCCGCGACGCGACGCCUCACCUAUACCCUCCACCUCGCGAGGCACCGUCGCUUCGCCGACAUCUGAGUUGCCAGUGGUCAUAAUUGGCCAGAGAAGGGGUCGUGGCGGACGCAGACGAGGAAGUGGGCGUGGUAGCCGU